UGCGCAGGCGGGCUUUUAAGUCAGUGGUGAAAAGCUGCCGCUUAACGGUAGUCUUGCCAUUGAUACUGAGAGUCUUGAGUUUGGAUGAGGUAGGCGGAAUGUGCAGUGUAGCGGUGAAAUGCAUAGAGAUUGCACAGAACACCGAUUGCGAAGGCAGCUUACUAAUCCACGACUGACGCUGAGGCACGAAAGCGUGGGGAUCAAACA
Molecule: ribosomal RNA, 207 nt
Filed under: uncultured Prolixibacteraceae bacterium
Lineage: Bacteria; Pseudomonadati; Bacteroidota; Bacteroidia; Marinilabiliales; Prolixibacteraceae
Description: partial 16S ribosomal RNA
Rfam family: Bacterial small subunit ribosomal RNA
Source: RNAcentral